AAAGUUGCGCUAAUACCGCAUAUUCUGUGAGCAGGAAAGCAGGGGACCGCAAGGCCUUGCGCUCUUUGAGCGGCCGAUGUCAGAUUAGCUAGUUGGUGAGGUAACGGCUUACCAAGGCGACGAUCUGUAGCGGGUCUGAGAGGAUGAUCCGCCACACUGGAACUGAGACACGGUCCAGACUCCUACGGGAGGCAGCAGUGGGGAAUUUUGGACAAUGGGGGCAACCCUGAUCCAGCCAUGCCGCGUGAGUGAAGAAGGCCUUCGGGUUGUAAAGCUCUUUCGGCCGGGAAGAAAUCGCAUGGGCCAAUACCCUGUGUGGAUGACGGUACCGGAAUAAGAAGCACCGGCUAACUACGUGCCAGCAGCCGCGGUAAUACGUAGGGUGCGAGCGUUAAUCGGAAUUACUGGGCGUAAAGCGUGCGCAGGCGGUUUUGUAAGACAGGCGUGAAAUCCCCGGGCUCAACCUGGGAACUGCGUUUGUGACUGCAAGGCUAGAGUACGGCAGAGGGGGGUGGAAUUCCACGUGUAGCAGUGAAAUGCGUAGAGAUGUGGAGGAACACCAAUGGCGAAGGCAGCCCCCUGGGUCGAUACUGACGCUCAUGCACGAAAGCGUGGGUAGCAAACAGGAUUAGAUACCCUGGUAGUCCACGCCCUAAACUAUGUCAACUAGGUGUUGGGUGGGUAAAACCAUUUAGUACCGUAGCUAACGCGUGAAGUUGACCGCCUGGGGAGUACGGCCGCAAGGUUAAAACUCAAAGGAAUUGACGGGGACCCGCACAAGCGGUGGAUGAUGUGGAUUAAUUCGAUGCAACGCGAAAAACCUUACCUACCCUUGACAUGCCAGGAACUUGCCAGAGAUGGCUUGGUGCCCGAAAGGGAGCCUGGACACAGGUGCUGCAUGGCUGUCGUCAGCUCGUGUCGUGAGAUGUUGGGUUAAGUCCCGCAACGAGCGCAACCCUUGUCGUUAAUUGCCAUCAUUUAGUUGGGCACUUUAGCGAGACUGCCGGUGACAAACCGGAGGAAGGUGGGGAUGACGUCAAGUCCUCAUGGCCCUUAUGGGUAGGGCUUCACACGUCAUACAAUGGUCGGUACAAAGGGUCGCCAAGCCGCGAGGUGGAGCCAAUCCCAGAAAGCCGAUCGUAGUCCGGAUUGCAGGCUGCAACUCGCCUGCAUGAAGUCGGAAUCGCUAGUAAUCGUGGAUCAGCAUGUCACGGUGAAUACGUUCCCGGGUCUUGUACACACCGCCCGUCACACCAUGGGAGCGGGUUCCGCCAGAAGUAGGUAGCCUAACCGCAAGGAGGGCGCUUACCACGGCGG
Molecule: ribosomal RNA, 1317 nt
Filed under: metagenome
Description: bacterial SSU rRNA
Rfam family: Bacterial small subunit ribosomal RNA
Source: RNAcentral